GUUUAUUUGGCGGAAUGGUAGACGCGAUAGAUUCAAAAUCUAUUUCAAUUUAAAUUGAGUUCAAGUUCAAGUCUUGAAAUGAACA
Molecule: transfer RNA, 85 nt
Filed under: Pedinomonas minor
Lineage: Eukaryota; Viridiplantae; Chlorophyta; Pedinophyceae; Pedinomonadales; Pedinomonadaceae
Description: tRNA-Leu
Rfam family: tRNA
About the family: Transfer RNA (tRNA) molecules are approximately 80 nucleotides in length. Their secondary structure includes four short double-helical elements and three loops (D, anti-codon, and T loops). Further hydrogen bonds mediate the characteristic L-shaped molecular structure. tRNAs have two regions of fundamental functional importance: the anti-codon, which is responsible for specific mRNA codon recognition, and the 3' end, to which the tRNAs corresponding amino acid is attached (by aminoacyl-tRNA synthetases). tRNAs cope with the degeneracy of the genetic code in two manners: having more than one tRNA (with a specific anti-codon) for a particular amino acid; and 'wobble' base-pairing, i.e. permitting non-standard base-pairing at the 3rd anti-codon position.
Source: RNAcentral